This 389-nucleotide ribosomal RNA is filed under the name uncultured bacterium. RNAcentral describes it as "bacterial SSU rRNA". It matches the Rfam family "Bacterial small subunit ribosomal RNA", at positions 29 to 408 of the family's 1533-position model. The record is from RNAcentral.
AACGAACGCUGGCGGCGCGCCUAAUACAUGCAAGUCGAGCGAGAAGACGUAGCAAUACGUUUGUAAAGCGGCGAACGGGUGAGGAAUACAUGGGUAACCUACCCUCGAGUGGGGAAUAACUAGCCGAAAGGUUAGCUAAUACCGCGUACGCUCCUUGGACUUCGGUUCAGGGAGGAAAGCGAUACCGUGGGUAUCGCGCUCUUGGAUGGGCUCAUGUCCUAUCAGCUUGUUGGUGAGGUAACGGCUCACCAAGGCUUCGACGGGUAGCUGGUCUGAGAGGACGAUCAGCCACACUGGCACUGCGACACGGGCCGGACUCCUACGGGAGGCAGCAGUAAGGAAUAUUGCGCAAUGGGCGAAAGCCUGACGCAGCGACGCCGCGUGGGGGA